UUCUGCAGGCUCAUCGCCCGGGUUGAUUGCUGCAGAGAUCAUCAUCAUCAUCAUCAUCAUCAUCAUCAGAGAAGCGAAACAUGGCCUUCGCUGUGUGAACUGGCGCUGAGGUUGCUGUUCUCGCAGGGCAGCGUUGAUUAAAAUGAUGUCCGUUCAAGCUGCCUGUGCCUUGCUCAGCCUUGCGCCCCUGUUGGUGCUUGGUGAUCCCCCCAUUUGGACCCAGCCAGAGCAAGUGCACCUCUCUUAUCCAGGAGCGCCCGGUUCAAUGGUGGUGACCUGGACCACCUUCAAUGAGACAAAGAGCGAGGUGGAGUACGGACUUCUGGGGGGUCGGCUCUUUGAGAUGAGCGCCCGCGGUGACGCUGCUCUGUUUGUGGACUCUGGCGAGGAAGAGCGAAAGAUGUACAUCCACAGGGUCACUCUCACAGACCUCAAGCCUGCCGCUACCUACGUCUACCACUGCGGGAGUGAUGACGGCUGGAGCGAUGUGUUCUCCUUCGCCGCUCUGAACGACAGCGCCAGCUUCAGCCCCCGAUUCGCUCUGUACGGCGACCUGGGCAACGAGAACCCUCAGUCGCUGGCUCGGCUGCAGAAGGAGACUCAGCUCGGCAUGUAUGAUGCCAUCCUGCACAUAGGUGACUUUGCCUACGACAUGCAUGAGGACAACGCCAGGAUCGGAGAUGAGUUCAUGAGGCAGAUUCAGUCCAUCGCCGCCUACGUGCCCUACAUGACCUGUCCAGGCAACCACGAGUCGGCAUAUAACUUCUCCAACUACAGGAAUCGGUUCAGCAUGCCAGGCCGGACUGAGAGCCUGUGGUACAGCUGGAACCUGGGGUCGGCGCACAUCAUCUCCGUCUCCACUGAGGUUUAUUUCUAUCUGGAAUUCGGCCAGGAUCUGAUCUUCAAGCAGCACGAGUGGCUGAGGAAAGACCUGGAGGAGGCCAACAAGCCAGAGAACCGAGCCCUGCGCCCGUGGAUCAUCACCAUGGGACACAGGCCCAUGUACUGCUCCGACGACGACCAGGACGACUGCACCACGUUUGACUCCUAUGUCCGACUGGGACGGAAUGACACAGAACCGCCAGCUCCGGGUCUGGAGGAUCUAUUCUACCGCUAUGGGGUGGAUGUGGAGUUGUGGGCACACGAGCACACGUAUGAGCGGCUUUGGCCCGUCUACGGCGACCAGGUGUACAAAGGAAGCAAAGAGCAGCCUUAUGUGAACCCGAAAGCUCCCGUGCACAUCAUCACAGGCUCCGCUGGCUGCAGAGAGAAGACCGACAGGUUCAACCCAAACCCCAAAGAGUGGAGCGCUUUCCGCAGCACGGACUACGGCUACACCCGCAUGCAGGUGGUCAACGGCACCCACCUUUACCUGGAGCAGGUCUCCGAUGACCAGUACGGGAAGGUGAUUGACAGCAUAUGGGUGGAGAAGGAACAGCAUGGCUUCUCUGCGUGGAAAUAAGGACCGCCGUGGAUAAUUUAAACUUAAGACAAGCACACUUGUUCCGCUGCGUCAUUGUGCACUCGAGAUGGAGAUGGAAAUGUUCCCGUGCAGUUCUGACCACAAGCACAUAAACAGGCGUUACCAGAAGAAGCUCCGUGGCUCCCUGCAGACAUCCAUCUGAGCCCUGCAGACAUCCAUCUGAGCCCUGCAGACAUCCAUCUGAGCCCUGCAGACAUCCAUCGCGAUGCGCACUGCUGCGAUUCAUCAGGACGACAUCAGGCCAACCACUACUCUAAGAAGGACGCAGCAUAGCUCUUGUCCUGCAUGCAGACAAGUGGGAGUGCCACGCCGCGCCGCGUCCCUCGGUUCAAGAAAUCUGUGUUCGGGUCCGUUGAUUCCCCAAAAAAUUGUCCUUCAGCAUCCACGCUUAAUGCGGGGACGCUAAAAUCACUCGGCCUGAUCCGUCAACAUACGGCGGGCGACUUCUCGCCGGUGACUGACUGUGAAGAAAGCCUCGCUGCGCUGAGAUGAGCGGAGAUCGUGCGAUUCAGAAACUAUGUGGCGUUGUGGGCUUUUGUCUUGUGAUCACACCUGACCUUCAGCGGGAGCUGGAGACGUCCCCUGCUCCUUAAGUGGUAGAGACGACUUGAGCUGCAGAGAGCUUUUGCUUUUCUCACAGACUGUCUCUGCUGUCCAAGUGCUUUCCCAGAAUGCAGCGUGCUUUUUGAGAACAAUGCCGGGCUCGUUACUCCUAUCCUGUGUCCCAAAUGUUACCCAUGCCAGGCCGUCCAUCUGUCUGUCUUCUUUAACUGUGAUUGGUGUUAUUAUCUCAAAUUUGGCUCUGAAUAUCAGCAGGGCUUGUCAUCGUUGGACCUUUUGUUAACAAAGCAACGCUCCUGCCAAUCCUGGUCUGAUCUGGAGCUCAGGCUGCGUGGAGGUGAAUAGUCUACCUUUGUUGUUUCUGUACAAAGGCAUCACUCUAUCGGCACUUGAGAUCUGAGCUCUAGCAAAGGAAAGGUCAGCGCGGGGUUUACAUGACUGGUGUUUUACAGGAACGGUAACACAAGCCCUCCUUUAAAAGCUCUGGUUUUGAAACCGUUAAGAUGGGAAUGAGGUGAUUAGCGGUCAUAAUGGGUUUUGCACUCAAAGCUCUAAACCUUUUACCCCUUUUAAAAAUGUCUCGUGGAGAGUCUGAGGAGUCUUUGAGUACGAUUGAGGCGUGUGUGGACGCCGUGCUUCACAUUUGGGACCAAAUAAAAGGGGUGGAGCAAUCCAGGAAAUCAUCUAACGUUGUAACAAUAUAAGACACAAGAGAAAAAUCUCAUUUUAGGCAUAACAUGUUACCUUAUUUUCCUUAAGAAACCGAUGCAGGAUCUAAUGGAUCUUUAAGCGCUCAGCUUAUGUAAGAUGUUAUUUUUACCCAUCCACCUGAAUUACGUCUGUCAUUAAAGACUCGCCUCUCACCUCCAA
Gasterosteus aculeatus aculeatus (three-spined stickleback) is the source of this 2914-nucleotide non-coding RNA. The record is from RefSeq and is a predicted model, not a curated record. NCBI's taxonomy places the organism in Eukaryota, Metazoa, Chordata, Actinopteri, Perciformes, Gasterosteidae.